CCUGACUGCUAUCGGAUUGAUACUAAGCCAUGCGAGUCAUUGUAGCAAUACAAGGCAUACGGCUCAGUAACGCGUAGUCAACCUAACCUAUGGACGGGAAUAACCUCGGGAAACUGAGAAUAAUGCCCGAUAGAACACUAUACCUGGAAUGGUUUGUGUUCCAAAUGAUUUAUCGCCGUAGGAUGGGACUGCGGCCUAUCAGCUUGUUGGUGAGGUAAUGGCCCACCAAGGCGAUUACAGGUACGGGCUCUGAGAGGAGGAGCCCGGAGAUGGGUACUGAGACAAGGACCCAGGCCCUAUGGGGCGCAGCAGGCGAGAAAACUUUGCAAUGUGCGAAAGCACGACAAGGUUAAUCCGAGUGAUUUCUGCUAAAGAAAUCUUUUGCAAGUCAUAAAACCACUAGUGAAUAAGGGGUGGGCAAGUUCUGGUGUCAGCCGCCGCGGUAAAACCAGCACCUCAAGUGGUCAGGAGGAUUAUUGGGCCUAAAGCAUCCGUAGCCGGCUCUGUAAGUUUUCGGUUAAAUCCAUGUGCUCAACGCAUGGGCUGCCGAAAUACUGCAUAGCUAGGGAGUGGGAGAGGUAGACGGUACUCAGUAGGAAGGGGUAAAAUCCUUUGAUCUAUUGAUGACCACCUGUGGCGAAGGCGGUCUACCAGAACACGUUCGACGGUGAGGGAUGAAAGCUGGGGGAGCAAACCGGAUUAGAUACCCGGGUAGUCCCAGCUGUAAACGAUGCAGACUCGAUGAUGCAUUGGCAUAUAGCCAGUGCAGUGUCGCAGGGAAGCCGUUAAGUCUGCCGCCUGGGAAGUACGUACGCAAGUAUGAAACUUAAAGGAAUUGGCGGGGGAGCACCACAAGGGGUGAAGCCUGCGGUUC
This 874-nucleotide ribosomal RNA is filed under the name uncultured archaeon. RNAcentral's name for it is "bacterial SSU rRNA". It matches the Rfam family "Archaeal small subunit ribosomal RNA", at positions 21 to 903 of the family's 1478-position model. The record is from RNAcentral.